AUCAAACCUCGUUCCUCCGUCUUUGCUCACUCUAGUAUGGGUGAUCUCUAUCUGCUACUCAUAACCCAAAAGAGAGAAACUUCAAUCUCCAAGGAUCUGCAGAGCUUCUCCGGCAACCUCCUCCCGCCGCUCCUCGUCACCGUCACCACCACCGCCAUCACCAAAUCGUACUGCGAACAAAGCCCAGCCGUCUCCCUCUCUCUUUCUCUCUCCUAGCCCACUAUCUCUCUCUCUGAUACUAUCUUUAUCCGCCGCAAACCCUAUCAAAUCUGGGUUCCAUGGUCUCGUCCUAUAAAUAGUGUAGAAUCAGUACAAUUCAGAUGGAGGGGAAGGAAAAACGUAGCAAGGAUAUGCAGAACGGUUCUGGCGCCAAGGAGGAACCUACUCAGCCACGUCAGACACAAGCCGGUGAGGAUCACAUGGCUAUCGAUGAGCUCAAGGCCGGCGGUGAUGCAGUCUUGGACUUGGGUCCUCCACUUCUCAGUCCUCCAAUCAGUAAUCUCCAACUCCAAAUCGGAUUAGCCGAUUAGCCGAUUAGGCAUAUGAUGUUGUUGGCGAAUUAUAUCAAAAAUAUGUUCAUAUCCUCGAGAUGAUUUUCCGCCUUCAGCACGCUUGUAAUCACCCACUGCUUCUUGAAAGAGAUGACUCUGACUCUGUGUUGCAUUGUAUGCAUGAUUGAAUAAAAUGAAAUGGGAUGGAUUUGUCAAUAGAGUGAAGAUUGGGAGGACGGGACGCCGUUGCAGCAAGCAGCAUUCAUCAGGGAGCUCGAGACUUUCCAUAAGGAGAGGUCCUUGGAAUUUAAGCCCCCGAAGUUUUAUGGAGAGCCACUUAAUUGCCUCAAGUUAUGGAGAGCUGUUAUUAAACUUGGUGGUUAUGAUGUGGUAAGAAUUCAUUUAACUACAUUUGCAAAGAAUUGAACUUGGUACGUGGUAAAACCAAUGGUACCCCGGAUACAGGCCAUUAGUGAACACGUUUACUGAAUUGCAGCCUUCACCGGAGUAUCUUAUCUGGAUAAAAAUUAAAAAAAAGAAGCUUGCUAUAGUAGUUGUAGUUAACUGAAAUUUCCAUAUUUCACACUGGAUUAGUCAUAGAAUUGAUCGCCGAACUAUGAAUAACUUAUGUUAGUCAAUUAAAAUUGUUGUUUUCUGACACAAUGCAUUUAGUUAAUGGCGAUGUUGUAUGGUACAUUCAAAUAAUUCGUUAUUUUUCUCCAAAGUUGAUCCAAUCAAUUAAAGCUAUAUUGGUGACAGUAUGAAUGUAAGGUGAUAGAUAGUUGUUCUUUCACACGAUGCAUGUAUUUGAUGGCACUGUUGUAUGGUACAUUCAAAUGACUUCAUU
Molecule: long non-coding RNA, 1338 nt
Organism: Argentina anserina (silverweed cinquefoil)
Lineage: Eukaryota; Viridiplantae; Streptophyta; Magnoliopsida; Rosales; Rosaceae
Exons: 5
Source: RefSeq, a predicted model, not a curated record